GUUUCUCUUUCUUCCCAAGGAUCCCAAUCUGCCCAGAGGAAUAGGGAACAGAUCCUCGACCCCCAACUUGAACUGUGUUCAGAAGACCAGCACAGGGUGACAAAACUGAGGCCUGGAGGGUUUAAAUCCUCGGUCACACAGCUGGUGAGAGAGUGGAGCCAGGAGUCAACCCAGGACUUCUUCCUGCCGGCCUCGGGGGAGUCAGGAGGCAGUGCCGCUCCUGGAGGUGGGGAGGUGACAUCUUCUCCUAACUGCAAUGUAUUACACUUUCCAACGGCUGUCUUUCAGGGAUGCGGUUUUUCUAAAACGGCCUAUCUGUAGAACCAGACAUUUGUAUCAACAACUUGGCAAACUGUCAGUUGUGACCCUACUCACGGGCAGAAAAAAUCCUUUUGAUUUAGAGCUCUUGAAAAUUGAGUUAACCUCAAAUCCCUUUGUUGACUAAACAUGAUUCCGUUAAUAAAAGA
This is a long non-coding RNA of Felis catus (domestic cat), 467 nucleotides long. RefSeq lists it as uncharacterized. The transcript is spliced from 3 exons. The record is from RefSeq and is a predicted model, not a curated record. Lineage: Eukaryota; Metazoa; Chordata; Mammalia; Carnivora; Felidae.